AUUGAACGCUGGCGGCGUGCCUAACACAUGCAAGUCGAGCGGUAACAGGUGUAGCAAUACAUGCUGACGAGCGGCGGACGGGUGAGUAACGCUUGGGAAUCUGCCUAUUAGUGGGGGACAACCCGGAGAAACUCGGGCUAAUACCGCAUACGCUCUACGGAGGAAAGCCGGGGACCGCAAGGCCUGGCGCUAAUAGAUGAGCCCAAGUCGGAUUAGCUAGUUGGUAGGGUAANGGCCUACCAAGGCGACGAUCCGUAACUGGUCUGAGAGGACGACCAGUCACACCGGAACUGAGACACGGUCCGGACUCCUACGGGAGGCAGCAGUGGGGAAUAUUGGACAAUGGGCGAAAGCCUGAUCCAGCGACGCCGCGUGGGUGAAGAAGGCCUGCGGGUUGUAAAGCCCUUUCAGCUCCGACGAAGCGAGAGUGACGGGUAGGAGCAGAAGAAGCACCGGCCAACUACGUGCCAGCAGCCGCAGU
Molecule: ribosomal RNA, 481 nt
Filed under: uncultured bacterium
Lineage: Bacteria
Description: bacterial SSU rRNA
Rfam family: Bacterial small subunit ribosomal RNA
Source: RNAcentral